AUAGCUGCAAAUAGAGAAGAAAAACUGCCUUUCUCUAGUUGUAAUUAUAGAAAAUUCUUAGGACUAGUUUACUCAAUGUUUUCUAUAAAUAGGAAGGCAUCCAACUAGUAUCAUGUAUGUAGAAGAAGUGAGAAAAAACCUCUCAAAAAAUAGAGAGAAAGAGUGUGUUGUAGCAACUCAUUUGUAAUCCCGAAAUUUCAUUAGUAAAAUCUCAUAUUUCUCCAAUCUCUAUCCUUCUACAUCUAACAAAUUUUGGUAUUAGAGCAAGGUUAAAAUUCAUAAACCCACUCCUACCAAAUUCCUACCAAAAGCUGAGAUAAAACCAGCCUAAAAAAAACCAUAAUACCAGCAGAUUUUUUAACAGAAAUAGGGAAAUUAUGGCAACAAAUUCAACAGCCUCCUUGUUCACUUAUUCACCAAAUCAAGUGCCAAUCUUUGAAGGUGAGCAUUAUGAAUAUUGGAGUAGUCAAAUGCAAACUCUCUUUACCUCUUUAGAUUUAUGGGAAGUCAUUGAGGAUGAU
This 521-nucleotide long non-coding RNA is filed under the name Olea europaea (common olive). RNAcentral's name for it is "long non-coding RNA (OEUR_LNC014276)". The record is from RNAcentral. Lineage: Eukaryota; Viridiplantae; Streptophyta; Magnoliopsida; Lamiales; Oleaceae.